CAAGUUUGGUUCGGAGAUGAAGGCUACGCCCGCUGAUAAACUACGCCGACUCUGAUGAUUGCCCGUGAAGGAGGAGCCUUCACCGCUGACGCGCUACAUCAACUCUGAUAUAGACCCGUGUGUGUUUUCCCGCUAGAAAAACGAUGUAAUAGGCUUGUUGACCAAGAGUUGUAAAGUAAAUGUGUUGUAAUCUUGUUUUUCACGAUGUAUGACCAUGAUAACGGCUGAUAUAUGAUAAUGUGAUGGCUCAAUUUUUGAAUUAUCACAUUAUAAUUCGAAUCUGUGGAUUUUCCCCUUUGUGGAAAAAUCUAGGUCGUUUCAAUCCUUCCACCUAGACCCAAUGAGAGGGUCGUUGGAGUCAAGACCAACCGGAGCGGCGAGAUCAGCAGUAUUCGCUACACUACGGAGGAGGAAAGGCCUUACUUUGAAGGGAUUAGAGCAGCCAAAGUCCGUUUCAUCCCUCCAAAGGCAGCCCCGAAGCACGCUCUCAAUGCUUUUGAGACACCUCCCAAGCGUCGCAAGACUACAAUGGAUAUUGAUGAGGACGUUCACAGACUAGACAGAGUUAUCAUAGACCUCCAGUCCUCGAUUAAUUCCCUCACUAGACAGCUCUCUAACCACAAUACUAUUAUACUAGGCCUUAGGCAGGAUCUUACCAGUGCCAACAAGAAGAUCAAGGAAUUAGAGCGCUGCUAAGUUAUCUAGAUUAGACCUUGAGGCAAUGCAUCUUAGUCAUCUAUCUUUAAAUUCGGUUUAGGUUUACUAUUAUCAUCAGUUUACUAUUAUCAUCAGUUUGCUAUUGUCAUCAGUUUGCUACUAGUCUUUUGUAAUAAAUGCCUCCAGAUUAAUGAAGAGUAUUAUUAUUAUUAUUAUUAUUAUUAUUAUUAUUAUUAUUAUUAUUAUUAUUAUUAUUAUUAUUAUUAUUAUUAUUAUUAUUAUUAUUAUUAUUAUUAUUAUUAUUAUUAUUAUGUCUUGUGUGUCUCUACUUUAUUUUUGUGCAAGAAAGCAGAAAACAAGUAUGGGGGAGAUCCCUCGACAUGCCAAACACACUCCGACCACACCACUCCACGAUUCAGGUACACACUCUGCACACUUUACUUUACACGUACACAUAUCUUGAUUAUGCAGAAUACUGUUUCUGACAUGAUAAAUUAAAAAGAUUAAAAUAUUUCUAAUCAUGAUUAAUCUCAAUCUGUGAUAUUUCCUGAAAACUUGCAAUUAUUGAAAAUCAUUUAAAAAAGAAACCCUGUGUUGCUUAAAGACAGUAUGAAAUGUGAUAUGGUAGAGUAUGAGUUUCUUAUUCUUGAUAUCAUUGUUGCUUGGAGAAUUCAUUUCAAAAUCUUUAAAAUUCUAGCUACCAUCCUCAGUGUUUUAUAUGCCUGAUAAAACUGAAAAUAUUAAUUAUAAUUAUAAAAGCUAUCUACUCUGUAUUGAGUUUGUUCAAAAUGAGUUAGAUCCUUGUUGAGAGAUUUAUCAUGCUCCUAAGAUCAAGAUAUUUAUUGAGAAAGAUUCACUCUUCCGAAGUAUUAUUGCAUUAGAGGCAUGGGCUAUGCAAAAAUAGAGAUAUUUCGAGGAAAUAAAAAGGAGCAAGUGCUCGACAACCUCGUAGAAAAAAAAAAUGGACAAGUGUCCGGCAGUAGAAUUAGGGAUACCUCAGUAUCCACUUAAAAAAAAGAGAGAGAAAAAAAGAGAAAAUGAUAGCCCAUGGUUCCUCUAAUAAGCAAUAUGCCAGCAAGAGUUGAUAAAGAUUUUAAUUUCCAAAGUCUUUGAUCUAAGAGUAUGACAUUCCCCUCCUCGGAUCCUGUUUUGAUCAAGCAAUAAAUGCAAAGUAAGUAUGCUUGAGAAUUUUUGCAAAUUAAAACAGCCUCAGUGAGAUAUAUAAAAAAAUAAUGAGUGAUCUGAGAGAACCUAUGAGGAUAAAAAGGUAUGCUAACUUUCUUUCAAAAAUAUACAAAAACUCCAAGUGACAGGAUUGAGAAGAAAGGAUCUUUACUCUUAACCAUAUACUUCCCUGACUACAGUACACAGUGAUUUUUAACACCCUGCAAUUAUAAAGAGAAUGUUUUAAAUGUUUACGCCAGAUAUUUUCUUAACCAUCAUUUUCUCGAGGACGAGUAAAAGCCUAAGUAUGGGGGUAUUUGUUGACGGUUCUUAAGUAUCAAUUUUAAUUAUCAAAUAAACAAGAGAAAGGACCAAUAUGCAAACAACACCUAGAAUUAGGGUUUGAUCUGACAGAAUUCCACGAGUUUUGUUGUUUAUCUGUUUCUGCAGGGGGUUAUCAGGAAAUAAGAAAGAAAGACCCACAUGUCGGGAUUACAUAGAGAUAUCAAGGCACCGCGCGAUUUUCUACCAUCUAAAAGACUCCAGAAGCCACGAGAAGAAAGCAGAGGCCGAAAGGGGCCAGGCCCAGGGCGCCCGCCCUGAGGACCUGGGUGCCCGCCCUCUCCUGUACUCCGUUCGGGACUCUCUUCGCACACGAUGUUCCACCAACCUAAUGGAUCAAAGAUAAUGUAGUACCACCUCGCCUACCGACCCAAAAACGCAUAGAGGAGGAGGACUAUAUAAGGAGACCCCCCUGGCCCCU
This 2584-nucleotide long non-coding RNA is filed under the name Sorghum bicolor (sorghum). Its description in RNAcentral is "long non-coding RNA (SBIC_LNC006152)". Lineage: Eukaryota; Viridiplantae; Streptophyta; Magnoliopsida; Poales; Poaceae. The record is from RNAcentral.